UGCCAGCAGCCGCGGUAAUACAGAGGGUGCGAGCGUUAAUCGGAAUCACUGGGCGUAAAGGGCGCGUAGGCGGCGAAGUAAGUCGGAUGUGAAAGCCCUGGGCUUAACCUAGGAAUUGCAUUCGAUACUGCUUGGCUAGAGUAUGGUAGAGGGAAGUGGAAUUCCGGGUGUAGCGGUGAAAUGCGUAGAGAUCCGGAGGAACACCAGUGGCGAAGGCGGCUUCCUGGACCAAUACUGACGCUGAGGCGCGAAAGCGUGGGGAGCAAACAGGAUUAGAUA
Molecule: ribosomal RNA, 279 nt
Filed under: uncultured bacterium
Lineage: Bacteria
Description: partial 16S ribosomal RNA
Rfam family: Bacterial small subunit ribosomal RNA
Source: RNAcentral